RNAcentral lists this ribosomal RNA (238 nucleotides) under uncultured bacterium. RNAcentral's name for it is "partial 16S ribosomal RNA". It matches the Rfam family "Bacterial small subunit ribosomal RNA", at positions 96 to 334 of the family's 1533-position model. The record is from RNAcentral.
CGGCGGACGGGUGAGUAACGCGUGGGUAACCUACCCUGUACACACGGAUAACAUACCGAAAGGUAUGCUAAUACGGGAUAAUAUAUUUGAGAGGCAUCUCUUAAAUAUCAAAGGUGAGCCAGUACAGGAUGGACCCGCGUCUGAUUAGCUAGUUGGUAAGGUAGCGGCUUACCAAGGCGACGAUCAGUAGCCGACCUGAGAGGGUGAUCGGCCACAUUGGAACUGAGACACGGUCCAA